AUAGCCAUAGAAACGGAGAUUAAAAGGAUGGAAUAACUUAUUUUGUUCUAAACAAUAAUGUUGCUAUAAAUACGAACAUUUUCCUUGUUAGCUUCCUGAAAAGCACAGAACAUUUUAGCAGGCUCAUCUCUUAACAAAACAAACCAGCCUGCAAAUACCUUGCACCCCUCGAAAUCAUUCCCUGUUUUUGUUGGGAAAUGGGCAAACCCACGGUCUGUACCUGUCCCCUCUGGAAUCAAUAAACUGCACGGUAUUUUUCCAAACACAGCUACUUUUGCUGAUUUGCGCUUCAUCUGUAAAAGGAAAAUAUCUCUUCCCCCCCAAGUGAGCGAUUGUAGAUUUUUUCUCAAAUUGUAUUUGAUCACCGAGUGAAUUUAGUGCUCGCUCAAGUCCGUGGGCUGACUGCUUGGAAAUGGCUCUGCCUGUCUUUGGAGAAGUUACGGCAGAGACAGCAGAGACAGCGGCGGAGCAAUUGCCACAGAUUAUUUCCCAAUCUGCUGCCGGCCUCCUUUGGAAGAGCACCAUCAUUUCAGCCUCCAUUUCCACUUUUUGCUGAGGCUGCUGCUUACAAAGAUACUAAUUGCGAUGGCGGGUUUUAUGUUAAUGGGUUCCACGUAAUGAUCAGCCCGGCGACUCCAGACCUUCAGAUUGUUGGUUGGCUGUGCUGGGAAUAAAACUAAUGGCAUUUGGUUAUGAAAAUGUCAGACCUCUACGUGGUGAUCUAAACUGGGGGCCCAACAAGACCGAAAUCCAAGAGCCUCCCCACGAUUGCCGGGGGCUGGACCCAGGGAUGCCCUUGGAGAAGGAAAUUCCUUCUCCCCCAGAAGUGCCAUGCUUUGAGGGAGGGCAGCUCCUUGCUGGGAUGAUACUGGCGAGGAUUGGGGUGCCAGGCUGGGGUACCCCUGCUCUGGGGACAGGGUGUGGGGUGCUCGGAGCGACAGCCGGGGAUGGAGCUGCGCGAGUCUCCAAAUUCUGACUAACGCCGUAACCGGUUUGGUAGCUCUAAAAUAGGAUUUUAAUCCUGGGAAGCAUCAUUUCACAUUCCAGUGAUCUAAUCAAAAUCCUUUCCUCUAAUCUCUCCAUGGUCCCCCCUUUCUAGAUGAAAGAGGCUGGAGUUCCUGUCUUCACCCUUUCUCCGCUGCCUCCCUGUUCUACCAGUCUGUUCUGUGUCCAGGCAACUGCAAAAAGACAUUUCAAAGGCUCCUGCCGUGCCAUGUAGAUGUUUUCUCUUGUUAGUUUGGACUGCAGGUGUGUAAGCCUCGAGGAUGAAGUAUCGUGGUGCUGUUUUAGGUUCGGGGCACACAGUCGUGGCACAAUAAAUCACAUAGGAACGCUCCGCUUUGAACGCGCGCGCACAGAAAAGGGAAAAGAAAAAAGCAUCUGACCUGAAUCAUUUUCUGGAAACACAUCUGGUUAAAAUCCAAAGUUUUAAAUUGAGUAAUAUUUUAAAAUACAUUUGGAUCAAGUCCCUCGUUUGCCAUUUUGUGUGGCAGCAAGCCCAAGGAAAUCUUGCUUGACAGCUCUGUUUUCUCAAAGUGCUGCAUUUCUUCGGGCUGGAUUCUGCAAAGAUCCUGCAGGCUACAGAGCUCCUUGGAGCAAGUGAUAAUGUGCUUUGUGUUCCUGCUGAAAUGUACCUGUGCACAGUGGGAGAGGGAGCUUGGAAAACUGGGUGCAGCCUGGCAAGAAGAUGGUUAGAAUAAAGUUUUCUUGGAUUUUUA
Molecule: non-coding RNA, 1718 nt
Organism: Zonotrichia albicollis (white-throated sparrow)
Lineage: Eukaryota; Metazoa; Chordata; Aves; Passeriformes; Passerellidae
Source: RefSeq, a predicted model, not a curated record